Molecule: ribosomal RNA, 279 nt
Filed under: uncultured bacterium
Lineage: Bacteria
Description: partial 16S ribosomal RNA
Rfam family: Bacterial small subunit ribosomal RNA
Source: RNAcentral
UGCCAGCCGCCGCGGUAAUACGUAUGGUGCAAACGUUGUUCGGAAUCACUGGGCAUAAAGAGCACGUAGGCGGAUUAGUAAGUUAGGGGUGAAAUCCCGGGGCUCAACCCCGGAACUGCCUCUAAUACUGCUAGUCUUGAGUUCGAGAGAGGUAAGUGGAAUUCCGAGUGUAGAGGUGAAAUUCGUAGAUAUUCGGAGGAACACCAGUGGCGAAGGCGGCUCACUGGCUCGAUACUGACGCUGAGGUGCGAAAGCGUGGGGAGCAAACAGGAUUAGAUA